Molecule: small nuclear RNA, 172 nt
Organism: Anopheles aquasalis
Lineage: Eukaryota; Metazoa; Arthropoda; Insecta; Diptera; Culicidae
Product: U4atac minor spliceosomal RNA
Source: RefSeq, a predicted model, not a curated record
UCCUUCCUUGUCUUGGGGAGCAGAAUGUCCAGUGAACGUAUAGUGAGGGCAUUGAUGCUGACAAACCCAUUACGAAAGGACGCGCGCAUCUUCGGAUGUGCCGUUCCUUGAACCCCCCGUCCGCCGGAUCGCUUUCGAACAGCUGGUUUGUGCGGUCGGAAUUUUUGAAGCG